GUGUCAGCCGCCGCGGUAAUACGGAGGGGGCAAGCGUUAUUCGGAAUUACUGGGCGUAAAGCGCACGUAGGCGGCGAAGCAAGUCAAGGGUGAAAGCCCUCGGCUCAACCGAGGAAUUGCCCUUGAAACUGUUUCGCUUGAGUCCGGGAGGGGGGAGCGGAAUUCCCAGUGUAGCGGUGAAAUGCGUAGAUACUGGGAGGAACACCGGUGGCGAAGGCGGCUCCCUGGCCCGGUACUGACGCUGAGGCUCGAAAGCGUGGGUAGCAAACAGGAUUAGAUACCCUGGUAGUCCACGCCCUAAACGGUGGGCACUAGGUGUGGGGCUCGGGAGGGUUCCGUGCCGAAGGGAAACCAAUAAGUGCCCCGCCUGGGGAGUACGGCCGCAAGGUUGAAACUUAAAGGAAUUGACGGGG
This 413-nucleotide ribosomal RNA is filed under the name uncultured prokaryote. Its description in RNAcentral is "bacterial SSU rRNA". It matches the Rfam family "Bacterial small subunit ribosomal RNA", at positions 505 to 918 of the family's 1533-position model. The record is from RNAcentral.